RNAcentral lists this ribosomal RNA (166 nucleotides) under Aspergillus felis. Its description in RNAcentral is "partial 28S ribosomal RNA". It matches the Rfam family "Eukaryotic large subunit ribosomal RNA", at positions 1 to 165 of the family's 3401-position model. Lineage: Eukaryota; Fungi; Ascomycota; Eurotiomycetes; Eurotiales; Aspergillaceae. The record is from RNAcentral.
UUGACCUCGGAUCAGGUAGGGAUACCCGCUGAACUUAAGCAUAUCAAUAAGCGGAGGAAAAGAAACCAACAGGGAUUGCCUCAGUAACGGCGAGUGAAGCGGCAAGAGCUCAAAUUUGAAAGCUGGCCCCUUCGGGGUCCGCGUUGUAAUUUGCAGAGGAUGCCUC